GAUGAACGCUAGCUACAGGCUUAACACAUGCAAGUCGAGGGGAAACGACAUCGAAAGCUUGCUUUUGAUGGGCGUCGACCGGCGCACGGGUGAGUAACGCGUAUCCAACCUGCCCACCACUUGGGGAUAACCUUGCGAAAGUAAGACUAAUACCCAAUGAUAUCUCUAGAAGACAUCUGAAAGAGAUUAAAGAUUUAUCGGUGAUGGAUGGGGAUGCGUAUGAUUAGCUUGUUGGCGGGGUAACGGCCCACCAAGGCUACGAGCAGUAGGGGUUCUGAGAGGAAGGUCCCCCACAUUGGAACUGAGACACGGUCCAAACUCCUACGGGAGGCAGCAGUGAGGAAUAUUGGUCAAUGGGCGUUAGCCUGAACCAGCCAAGUAGCGUGAAGGAUGAAGGCUCUAUGGGUCGUAAACUUCUUUUAUAUAAGAAUAAAGUGCAGUAUGUAUACUGUUUUGUAUGUAUUAUAUGAAUAAGGAUCGGCUAACUCCGUGCCAGCCGCCGCCGUAA
This 508-nucleotide ribosomal RNA is filed under the name uncultured bacterium. RNAcentral describes it as "partial 16S ribosomal RNA". It matches the Rfam family "Bacterial small subunit ribosomal RNA", at positions 28 to 523 of the family's 1533-position model. The record is from RNAcentral.